UCAGCUGAAUUUCUCAGAGCCGCUGUCCGGAGAAGCUUCUAAAAACUGUGAUGUUGCUUUUUUUUUUGGUUUUUAGAAUUUCAGCUUGUUACAGGAAAAGUCCACAAUGCCCUUUGAUUCAUUGGGUCAUACUAAUUGAUAAUAUCAAUGUUGUCUACUGUUAAAUCACAGUUUCACAUUGUUCUACUCAGAACAUGGCACAACAAACAAGCAAUUCUUCCAUUUAACAGCAAAAAUUUGUUCGAUCCAACCAAAAUUAUUGCACUAACCAACAACAAAUAAAAAACAACAGAUUGAGCUUCCGCCUGGGCAAGCUAGUCCGGCAGGAAAAGGCAACAGAGGUGGGGAGCGGGAAGACGGCGGGUCAUGAUGGGUCGACCGGCGGUGAGGGAGGAUAGGGAGAUGGCGUCGUGCUCCUGCUGGCCGGCGACGAGCCACUGGAUCCGGCGCCGACAGGGGGACGGUGGCGGGCUGCAAGCCUAGAGCCUAGACGGGGAGAUGUGGGAGAGACGAGGGGGCGAAGAUGGGCCAGAUGGAGCAGAGGGCGGCGCGAACGGAGGAGAUGGGGAGGGCGGCGUGGACGGAGGACGUGGGGAGGGAGGCGGCCACCAGAGGAGGGCGGGGGAUCCGGCAGAGGCGGGAGGUGGGAAAGGGAGGGGAGGAGACGCUAGGGGCGCAGCCGGCCUGGCAGCGGUGAGCAUGGAUCGGGAGGAGAGCUCGAGAUCCAAAUCAGGGG
Molecule: long non-coding RNA, 736 nt
Filed under: Brachypodium distachyon (stiff brome)
Lineage: Eukaryota; Viridiplantae; Streptophyta; Magnoliopsida; Poales; Poaceae
Description: long non-coding RNA (BDIS_LNC004024)
Source: RNAcentral